This 67-nucleotide transfer RNA is filed under the name Cerceris albofasciata. RNAcentral describes it as "tRNA-Val". The record is from RNAcentral. Lineage: Eukaryota; Metazoa; Arthropoda; Insecta; Hymenoptera; Crabronidae.
AAAAUUUUAGUUUAAAUAAAAAUUUUUUAUUUACAAUAAAAAGAUUAAUUAUCUAAUUAAAAUUUUA